GGGGUCAUAGCUCAGUGGUAGAGCACAUGCUUAGCAUGCACAAGGUCCUGGGUUCAAUCCCCAGUACCUCCA
This 72-nucleotide transfer RNA is filed under the name Camelus bactrianus (Bactrian camel). It matches the Rfam family "tRNA". Rfam says of the family: Transfer RNA (tRNA) molecules are approximately 80 nucleotides in length. RNAcentral also lists the same sequence under 2 other names. The record is from Rfam by way of RNAcentral. Lineage: Eukaryota; Metazoa; Chordata; Mammalia; Artiodactyla; Camelidae.